AUUGAACGCUGGCGGCAGGCCUAACACAUGCAAGUCGAGCGAGCGGCGGACGGGUGAGUACUGUCUGGGUAACUGCCUGAUGGAGGGGAAUAACUAUUGGAAACGGUAGCUAAUACUGCAUACCAUCAGCUCUGUCCCGAUGUGAUUAGCUAGUAGGUGGGUUAACGGCUCACCUAGGCGACCAUCCCUAGCUGGUCUGAGAGGAUGACCAGCCACACAGGAACUGAUACACGGUCCAGACUCAUACGGGAGGCAGCAGUGGGGAAUAUUGCACAAUGGGCGCAAGCAUGAUGCAGCCAUGCCGCGUGUGUGAAGAAGGCCUUCGGGUUGUAAAGCACUUUCAGCUGGGAGGCGUUACCCGCAGAAGAAGCACCGGCUAACUCCGUGCCAGCCGCCGCGGUAAUAC
This 406-nucleotide ribosomal RNA is filed under the name uncultured bacterium. Its description in RNAcentral is "partial 16S ribosomal RNA". It matches the Rfam family "Bacterial small subunit ribosomal RNA", at positions 30 to 526 of the family's 1533-position model. The record is from RNAcentral.